UUAAUCGAUGUAGUCAUCGUACCAAGGAAUGUACACAGACAGACAUGAGGAAUUACAUAGGAGAAGAGGUCCACUGAAUGGAAAUCCGCAGAAGUUUACGGAUUCGUCUGAUCAUAAUGAUGAAUUUGACCUAAGACAAACAGACAACACAGAAUUCUACAAUAAAUCGAACAGUGACAUACCACCACCUUAUUCUACGGUAGUUAAAGAUACAAACAAUACAGGCUAUAACGUAUCAGAAGAGAAUAAUCAAGAG
Molecule: long non-coding RNA, 256 nt
Organism: Mytilus trossulus (common blue mussel)
Lineage: Eukaryota; Metazoa; Mollusca; Bivalvia; Mytilida; Mytilidae
Exons: 4
Source: RefSeq, a predicted model, not a curated record